UAAUGGGUGAUGGCGUGCCUUUUGUAGAAUGAACCGGCGAGUUACGAUUUGAUGCAAGGUUAAGCAGUAAAUGUGGAGCCGUAGCGAAAGCGAGUCUGAAUAGGGCGUUUAGUAUUUGGUCGUAGACCCGAAACCAGGUGAUCUACCCUUGGUCAGGUUGAAGUUCAGGUAACACUGAAUGGAGGACCGAACCGACUUACGUUGAAAAGUGAGCGGAUGAACUGAGGGUAGCGGAGAAAUUCCAAUCGAACCUGGAGAUAGCUGGUUCUCUCCGAAAUAGCUUUAGGGCUAGCCUCAAGUGAUGAUUAUUGGAGGUAGAGCACUGUUUGGACGAGGGGCCCCUCUCGGGUUACCGAAUUCAGACAAACUCCGAAUGCCAAUUAAUUUAACUUGGGAGUCAGAACAUGGGUGAUAAGGUCCGUGUUCGAAAGGGAAACAGCCCAGACCACCAGCUAAGGUCCCAAAAUAUAUGUUAAGUGGAAAAGGAUGUGGCGUUGCCCAGACAACUAGGAUGUUGGCUUAGAAGCAGCCAUCAUUUAAAGAGUGCGUAAUAGCUCACUAGUCGAGUGACACUGCGCCGAAAAUGUACCGGGGCUAAACAUAUUACCGAAGCUGUGGAUUGUCCUUUGGACAAUGGUAGGAGAGCGUUC
This 650-nucleotide ribosomal RNA is filed under the name Staphylococcus aureus. Its description in RNAcentral is "partial 23S ribosomal RNA". It matches the Rfam family "Bacterial large subunit ribosomal RNA", at positions 587 to 1241 of the family's 2925-position model. Lineage: Bacteria; Bacillati; Bacillota; Bacilli; Caryophanales; Staphylococcaceae. The record is from RNAcentral.